CCAGCAGCCGCGGUAAUUCCAGCUCCAAUAGCGUAUAUUAAAGUUGUUGCAGUUAAAAAGCUCGUAGUUGGAUUUGUGGUUUACGCAAGGCUCUCGUCCAUCUUUGGUUUCGAUGUUGCCUGGCGUUGCCAUCCUUGGGUGGAAUCUGUGUGGCAUUAGGUUGUCGUGCAGGGGAUGCCCAUCGUUUACUGUGAAAAAAUUAGAGUGUUCAAAGCAGGCUUAUGCCGUUGAAUAUGUUAGCAUGGAAUAAUGAUAUAGGACCUUGGUACUAUUUUGUUGGUUUGCGCACCGAGGUAAUGAUUAACAGGGUCAACUGGGGAUAUUCGUAUUCCGCUGUCAGAGGUGAAAUUCUUGGAUUUUUGGAAGACGAACUACUGCGAAAGCAUUUAUCAAGGAUGUUUUCAUUAAUCAAGAACGAAAGU
Molecule: ribosomal RNA, 422 nt
Filed under: uncultured eukaryote
Lineage: Eukaryota
Description: SSU rRNA
Rfam family: Eukaryotic small subunit ribosomal RNA
Source: RNAcentral